UUAUUCAGUAGUUCUCAUGGAUAAUCGGAUGUCAAAGAUAUGUACUGCCUCAUCUGACUUAAAUUAGUGAUUUUAGUUGUGCUGUAAUUCUCAUGGCCUCAGAUCUAUAUCAGCAUGUCCAGCUUCUCUGAUUCUCCCCAAACAGUCCAGACUGUCUUGUGAUUCCUUUAAAUACUAGGAUCAGGCUCUUGCAGCAUGUGCACAUCUUGAUCAAAGUUCGUCUGAUCAUCUGCCUUGGCCUCAAGAUGUUGGAUCCGGACCUACCACUGUGCUUGGGAAUGACAGGCGGCGCAGGAGGGACUCGGACCUUUGACUGAUCGACCAGGAUUAGGAUCAGGAUUGGGAUUACUUCUCAGGACCAUUUCAAAAUAUCCCAAGCAUGCUGCUAGCUAAUCUCCAUACAGGCAGAGACAGAAGCUGAACUGAUCUAAACAAAAGGAUAGUCAUAUUUGGGCCCAAUCCAGCAAGCCUUUGUGGAUGUGAGGUAAAGGUUCUCAUCUGAGGUAGUUCAAUUGACUUCAGUGGACUCCAGUGGGACUACUUUGG
Molecule: long non-coding RNA, 546 nt
Filed under: Chrysemys picta bellii (western painted turtle)
Lineage: Eukaryota; Metazoa; Chordata; Testudines; Emydidae
Description: lncRNA (ENSCPBG00000009303.1)
Source: RNAcentral